RNAcentral lists this ribosomal RNA (464 nucleotides) under uncultured bacterium. RNAcentral describes it as "partial 16S ribosomal RNA". It matches the Rfam family "Bacterial small subunit ribosomal RNA", at positions 338 to 795 of the family's 1533-position model. The record is from RNAcentral.
CCUACGGGAGGCAGCAGUGGGGAAUAUUGCGCAAUGGGCGAAAGCCUGACGCAGCGACGCCGCGUGAGGGAUGAAGGUCUUCGGAUCGUAAACCUCUGUCAGCAGGGAAGAACGGUCACUGUGCUAAUCAGCAGUGAAUUGACGGUAUCUGCAAAGGAAGCACCGGCUAACUCCGUGCCAGCAGCCGCGGUAAUACGGAGGGUGCGAGCGUUAAUCGGAAUUACUGGGCGUAAAGCGCUCGUAGGCGGUAUGUCAAGUGAAGGGUGAAAUCCCCGCGCUAAACGGGUAUAUGCACUGGAAACUGGCGGGCUAGAGAGCAGGAGAGGGCGGUGGAACUCGAGGUGUAGCGGUAAAAUGCGUAGAUAUAUGGAAGAACACCAGUGGCGAAGGCGGCCGCCUGGCCUGUUACUGACGCUGAGGCACGAAAGCGUGGGGAGCAAAUAGGAUUAGAUACCCCUGUAGUC